RNAcentral lists this ribosomal RNA (406 nucleotides) under uncultured bacterium. Its description in RNAcentral is "partial 16S ribosomal RNA". It matches the Rfam family "Bacterial small subunit ribosomal RNA", at positions 30 to 526 of the family's 1533-position model. The record is from RNAcentral.
AUUGAACGCUGGCGGCAGGCCUAACACAUGCAAGUCGAACGAGUGGCGGACGGGUGAGUAAUGUCUGGGAAACUGCCUGAUGGAGGGGGAUAACUACUGGAAACGGUAGCUAAUACCGCAUACCAUCAGAUGUGCCCAGAUGGGAGUGGCUUGUUGGUGGGGUAACGGUCCACCAAGGCGACGAUCCCUAGCUGGUCGGAGCUGAUGACGAGCCACACUGGAACUGAGACACGGUCCAGACGCCUACGGUAGGCAGCAGUGUGGAAUAGUGCACAAUGGGGGCAAGCCUGAUGCAGCCAUGCCGCGUGUAUGAAGAAGGCCUUCGGGUUUUAAAGUACUUUCAGCGGGGAGGCGUUACCCGCAGAAGAAGCACCGGCUAACUCCGUGCCAGCAGCCGCGGUAAUUC